CCCUGAAUGUGGUCCCCAUGGAGGAGUCCUAGGACAGCAUCCCCAAAGACUGAGUCGGAGUGGUGACCACAGGCUGGAGGUUCAUGGUUGGGAAAACAAAUAAGGAGCUGCUUUGGUGAAAUUACCGUGUUUGGUAAAAUAUGGUGUUCUGCUGAUUUGACCAAUCCUGUAAAUCAUAGCCAGAUAUUAGUUCAUCUCUCCCAAAUAUUACAGGUGCAAAUCUUUCUGGAAAGCACUCUCACUUUGCAACUCAUUUUUUAGAGUAAACAUGUGUCAAACACAGAACCUUCCUCGAGGCUCCAGAGCAGCUGGACGCAGUGUCUGCUGGGAGUCCUUGUUCAGGUAAAUGAAUCACACAGCCUUAGUAUAGGGAAUCCCUGAGAGUUAUAGAGGAUGGCAAUCUGGUCCCUGUAUUAUUAGGUUCUUCUUCUACAGCUGGUGAAAUCUCCUGUCCUGAUUCAUUUUUGGGUAUAAGUUGAGAUCCUGGCUCGUAAUGUUUUGUAGCCUUGUGGAAAGGAUCACACACAAAAUACAAGACACCGGCUGUGAUGACUGAGCAUGUGUGAAACACACAAAGAGCACUUGCUGAUCCUGUUCAACCUGGUAAGGGAAUUCACGGCUCAAUGAUGGGAGCACUCAGGCUUCACAUGUAGGUCACCAAAGCAAGGAAGCCAGGCUGUCCCAGACUUGAUGUAGGAAGAGUACAUGUCCAUCCAUCUCAACCCCAGGGACCGACUGAGAUCAGAAGUGCCUGCAAGAGUGAAUCUAC
Molecule: long non-coding RNA, 769 nt
Filed under: Vulpes vulpes (red fox)
Lineage: Eukaryota; Metazoa; Chordata; Mammalia; Carnivora; Canidae
Description: lncRNA (ENSVVUG00000008056.1)
Source: RNAcentral